Molecule: long non-coding RNA, 544 nt
Filed under: Mytilus galloprovincialis (Mediterranean mussel)
Lineage: Eukaryota; Metazoa; Mollusca; Bivalvia; Mytilida; Mytilidae
Source: RNAcentral
UUUUUUAUAUACAGAAUUGUUUCCGUAUGUCUAAGUAGCUAUAUAUGGGGAGAUUUUUUUUUUAAUUGGCAUAUUUUGUAGUAGUUCCCAUAUACGUAUUUCUACAUGGCAACCUUAUUCAUUUUUGGAGUAAUCUCCUCUGUAGCGCACUAUUUUAAAGUAGCCGCUUUAAAUAUUUUAGAGUGAUUGCUCUGUAGGAAAUUAUUUUCAUUGUGACAGGUACAACUGUUUUGAGAAUCGUCACUUUAGGAAAUAAGUUUUCAAAAUCAUAGCUUUUAAUAUUUUUGAGAAACUCCUUAUACCUAAAGACUGAUACAUUCAUUAAAUUAUUUCUUUGAUUUCAUUUGGACACCAAUGUUGGUUUUUUUUCAAAUUUAAGGACCUUACUGUGUACUAUCAAGUAUUACUCAAUAACUAUAGGGUUAUAACCUUUAAAAAAAUGUAGGGUCUCUAUAAGAUUAGUUUAGGUACAUAUGUAGACCAUAUACAGUGAAAAGUUGUCAUGUGAGCAACUCAGGCUCUGGAGCUUAUAGAUGAAUUCCUG